RNAcentral lists this ribosomal RNA (915 nucleotides) under Olibrus sp. CO074. RNAcentral describes it as "eukaryotic LSU rRNA". It matches the Rfam family "Eukaryotic large subunit ribosomal RNA", at positions 70 to 733 of the family's 3401-position model. Lineage: Eukaryota; Metazoa; Arthropoda; Insecta; Coleoptera; Phalacridae. The record is from RNAcentral.
UAGGAUUCCCUUAGUAGCUGCGAGCGAACAGGGAUUAGCCCAGCACUGAAUCCCGCGGCCGAUAUCGGACGCCGGGAAAUGUAGUGUUUGGGAGGAUCCAUUAUCCUGAGAUUGAUUUAUUGAGUCCAAGUCCUUCUUGAACGGGGCCACAGCCCAUAGAGGGUGCCAGGCCCGUAGUGACCAAUAACAAUAGCGGGAGGAUCUCUCCUUAGAGUCGGGUUGCUUGAGAGUGCAGCCCUAAGUGGGUGGUAAACUCCAUCUAAGGCUAAAUAUAAACACGAGACCGAUAGCGAACAAGUACCGUGAGGGAAAGUUGAAAAGCACUUUGAAGAGAGAGUUCAAUAGUACGUGAAACCGUUCAGGGGUAAACCUGAGAAAUCCGAAAGGUCGAAAGGGGAAAUUCAUUCGUAUUUCGAUAUUGGCAUUGUGUGUUUGUUAUGACAAUUGACAAUUUAUUGUUCUUUUGCAUCUUACGCAUUAUGAACUGGUACCGAAUACGUGCACUUUUCCCCAAGUAGGACGCCGUGAUCCGUUGGGUGUCGGUCUAAGGUUUUGUGGUGGCAGACCAUUUAGAUAGUUUAUAGCUAUUUAAUCUAAAUGGACCCAUAUUAUCCCGACCGGCUCGCUCGACGGUAUCAUUAAUGACGCAGAGCCGCAAAUUUACAAAAUUUGCGUUCGGCCCACAACAAGCGUACUAUGUGUAUUGGUGUAACGGACCUAGUGCCGUCACUGAACCUUAGUAUCUGUUGGUUGUGGUGUUCUCGAACAGACUCUGUAAUAUGAAACGUCAAUCAGCGGCGCUAUAGCUUUGGAUACUUUCAGGACCCGUCUUGAAACGCGGACCAAGGAGUCUAGCAUGUGCGCAAGUCAUUGGGAUUUGAAAUUAAACCUAAAGGCGUAAUGAAAGUAAAUGUU